RNAcentral lists this ribosomal RNA (573 nucleotides) under uncultured Enterobacteriaceae bacterium. Its description in RNAcentral is "bacterial SSU rRNA". It matches the Rfam family "Bacterial small subunit ribosomal RNA", at positions 928 to 1502 of the family's 1533-position model. Lineage: Bacteria; Pseudomonadati; Pseudomonadota; Gammaproteobacteria; Enterobacterales; Enterobacteriaceae. The record is from RNAcentral.
AGCGGUGGAGCAUGUGGUUUAAUUCGAUGCAACGCGAAGAACCUUACCUGGUCUGACAUCCAUAGAAUUCUGCAGAGAUGUGGGAGUGCCUUCGGGAACUAUGAGACAGGUGCUGCAUGGCUGUCGUCAGCUCGUGUUGUGAAAUGUUGGGUUAAGUCCCGCAACGAGCGCAACCCUUAUUCUUUGUUGCCAGCGAUUUGGUCGGGAACUCAAAGGAGACUGCCGUUGAUAAAGCGGAGGAAGGUGGGGACGACGUCAAGUCAUCAUGGCCCUUACGACCAGGGCUACACACGUGCUACAAUGGCGUAUACAAAGGGAAGCGAAGGUGCGAGCUGGAGCGGAUCUCAUAAAGUACGUCUAAGUUCGGAUUGGAGUCUGCAACUCGACUCCAUGAAGUCGGAAUCGCUAGUAAUCGUAGAUCAGAAUGCUACGGUGAAUACGUUCCCGGGCCUUGUACACACCGCCCGUCACACCAUGGGAGUGGGUUGCACCAGAAGUAGAUAGCUUAACCGCGAGGGGGGCGUUUACCACGGUGUGAUUCAUGACUGGGGUGAAGUCGUAACAAGGUAACCA